AACGAACGCUGGCGGCAGGCUUAACACAUGCAAGUCGAACGGGUGCAGCAGUGCAUCAGUGGCAGACGGGUGAGUAACACGUGGGAACCUUCCUAGGGGUACGGAACAACUCAGGGAAACUUGAGCUAAUACCGUAUACGUCCGUGAGGAGAAAGAUUUAUCGCCCUUAGACGGGCCCGCGUCGGAUUAGCUAGUUGGUGGGGUAACGGCCUACCAAGGCGACGAUCCGUAGCUGAUCUUAGAGGAUGAUCAGCCACACUGGGACUGAGACACGGCCCAGACUCCUACGGGAGGCAGCAGUGGGGAAUCUUGGACAAUGGGCGCAAGCCUGAUCCGGCCAUGCCGCGUGAGUGAAGAAGGUCUUCGGAUUGUAAAGCUCUUUUGCCAGGGACGAUAAUGACGGUACCUGGAGAAUAAGCCCCGGCAAACUUCGUGCCAGCAGCCGCCGUAA
This 451-nucleotide ribosomal RNA is filed under the name uncultured bacterium. RNAcentral's name for it is "partial 16S ribosomal RNA". It matches the Rfam family "Bacterial small subunit ribosomal RNA", at positions 29 to 523 of the family's 1533-position model. The record is from RNAcentral.